UUUCAAAAUCAGCUAUUCGUCUACCUUCGCCAAAAUUGGCCAAAAUUUAUUUUUCUAAAUUAAUUACGAAAUUACAAACCUCUGCAAGUUUAAUAUAAAAUGAAAACGGUUCAAGGUUUAAGUUCAAACUCACUGGAUGGUGAAUCAUGAAUUAAACAACGAUUACCUUUAAACUAAAACAAUGUGAGCUAGUAAAAGUUUCGCUAAAAUCAAAACUUCUCAAGAAUACAGACUGAAUUUUACCCAUUCAAGAUUUAGUAGGAAUGUAAAUUAAUUUGAACUAAAAUGGAGGAAGCAAAAUUUGGAGCAUCAAUUGAUAAUAUCUACCCUGCUCUUUUACAAUGUUUUGCAGUUAUAUUAUGCGGGUAUUUAGCUGGCCGAAUGAAUCUCGUCUCAGAAACAGAAGCCAAAGGAAUGAACACUUUCGUAGGGACCUUUUCUCUACCUUCCUUGAUAUUUAUGUCGCUGGCUGAGUUAGAUUUAAGUUCAGUAAACUGGAUGUUCCUUUUAUCUAUAUUAAUAUCAAAAAGUAUAAUUUUUUUCUCUGUGAUAAUUGUAACAGUACUAGUAGGGAGACCAUUGAAUCUGGGAAGAGCUGGAAUAUUUGCCAUAUUUUGCACACAAA
Molecule: long non-coding RNA, 625 nt
Organism: Sitophilus oryzae (rice weevil)
Lineage: Eukaryota; Metazoa; Arthropoda; Insecta; Coleoptera; Curculionidae
Exons: 3
Source: RefSeq, a predicted model, not a curated record